This is a long non-coding RNA of Pogona vitticeps (central bearded dragon), 772 nucleotides long. RefSeq lists it as uncharacterized. The record is from RefSeq and is a predicted model, not a curated record. NCBI's taxonomy places the organism in Eukaryota, Metazoa, Chordata, Lepidosauria, Squamata, Agamidae.
AUGCUAUUUGCCAAACGCAGCAAGAGACCAACCAUUAUGACCUCAUACUGAUCUUGCUCAUCUGAAGAGAGUGAAAGACCAGCCCUAAAGUUUGGUCACUGUGACUUCAUGCCAAAAUUGCCUGCCUGAAGGGAAAGGAACUGGUCAGUGUAGCAUCAUGCUAAUGUUUUCUGCCUCAGAGAGGGAGCCAGGAACGUCUGUUGUAAGGUUGGGCUUAUGCUACCUUUUGGAAGGGAAGGGGACUGAGCAUUAAUUAACUGACUGACCCACAUCCCUUUCCACAGCUGCUAUACAAUUGAAGGAAGGGGCAGCAUUACUUCUCGCACACAUGCGGCAGAACACUUUGAAGGCAGAAUUACCCUUUGUACUCCAACAGGAGAACUGCUGCUGAGGAAGAAACUUUAAGGUACCACUUGUGAGAACUGAAGAUGAUGACGGCUUAUGGAAGAGGAUGCAUAGAAUCCACAACAAAAGACUGUAUCCAAGGAAGAAAGAGAUUUAUUCGAGAAUGACAUAUUUGGGGAGAGAGGAACAAUAUCUGGUUAUGUGCCUGAGAAGAUAGUCAUAGGAGGGACUAAAGUCAAAGCGGACAGAAUAACUCCAUGGAGAAGAAAGCAAAUGAAUAGUCAAGACAUAAUAGGAGAGAAACCAGAUGUGUUGAAGCGGAUGACAAAGGUCUCCAACCCCACCUCCACCAUUUAACACCAUUCUACUGGAGUGCCAACCAGGACAGAAAAGGCCACAUGGCCUGUAUCACUGGUGCAGCUUUGUA